This 674-nucleotide long non-coding RNA is filed under the name Homo sapiens (human). RNAcentral describes it as "HSALNT0202412". Lineage: Eukaryota; Metazoa; Chordata; Mammalia; Primates; Hominidae. The record is from RNAcentral.
GCUCCCAGCGUGAGCGACGCAGAAGACGGGUGAUUUCUGCAUUUCCAUCUGAGGUACCGGGUUCAUCUCACUAGGGAGUGCCAGACAGUGGGCGCACGCAGGAUACUCAAACUUGAAACCAACCUACCUUAUCGUGAGGAAGCCUGGUUCAAAUGGAGAGGCCAAUGUAGGUGUACAACAGACAGUCCCAGCUGAAAGGCCCAGCUUGCACACAACAUCACUGCCAGACGAAUGAGAAGGGCCUUAUGAUGAUUCCAGCAUCAGACAUUUGACUUGGCCCAGCUUUUGCUGAACUGCAUCUUAAAUGGGCUCUUGCUAUAUUUGGCCUGACUGGUCUUGAACUCCUGGACUCAAGUGGAGCUCCUGCCUCGACCUUCUGAAGUACUGGGACUACAAGCAUAAGCCACUGUGCCUAGCUACUUGCUGUGUUUUAAAGCAAGACCAACACUCUUCCUCCUCCUCUGCCUACUCAAUGUGAAGACAAUGAGGAUGAACACCUUUAUGAUGCUCCACUUCCACUUAUUGAAUACAAUUUGACGUACGACAUUCUAAUCCCUUCUGGACUGCAAGGUUUCUGCAGAAAAAUUUCAUGAUGGUGCUACACAUGAAACUUGUAACCAGUUACUACAGGCGAAAGCAAAUCCAUGUCUUCAGGCUGGUGUCAUCAGGGAGAG